Molecule: ribosomal RNA, 301 nt
Filed under: uncultured bacterium
Lineage: Bacteria
Description: partial 16S ribosomal RNA
Rfam family: Bacterial small subunit ribosomal RNA
Source: RNAcentral
CAGCAGCACGGGAAUACAGAGGAUGCAAGCGUUACCCGGAAUGAUUGGGCGUAAAGCGUCUGUAGGUGGCUUUUCAAGUCCGCUGUCAAAUCCCAGGGCUCAACCCUGGACAGGCGGUGGAAACUACCAAGCUGGAGUGCGGUAGGGGCAGAGGGAAUUUCCGGUGGAGCGGUGAAAUGCGUUGAGAUCGGAAAGAACACCAACGGCGGAAGCACUCUGCUGGGCCGACACUGACACUGAGAGACGAAAGCUAGGGGAGCAAAUGGGAUUAGAUACCCCCGUAGUCCCUGUCUCUUAUACA